Molecule: transfer RNA, 59 nt
Filed under: Enyalioides laticeps
Lineage: Eukaryota; Metazoa; Chordata; Lepidosauria; Squamata; Hoplocercidae
Description: partial tRNA-Leu
Source: RNAcentral
UUAGACCCCUCACUUUUAAAGGAUAAUAGUAAUCCACUGGUUUUAGGCACCAGAAACCU